GCUGAUGAUGAUUUAAUCCAACUUUAUGAGGUGCUGUGGAGCCAAGACCCUUUUUAAGGGAGAACCUACUUGGUGAAGCUUCAUUCAUAUGACAUCAUCGGAUUUUACUGAGGC
This is a non-coding RNA of Phaseolus vulgaris (common bean), 114 nucleotides long. NCBI's taxonomy places the organism in Eukaryota, Viridiplantae, Streptophyta, Magnoliopsida, Fabales, Fabaceae. The record is from Rfam.